Molecule: ribosomal RNA, 551 nt
Filed under: uncultured bacterium
Lineage: Bacteria
Description: bacterial SSU rRNA
Rfam family: Bacterial small subunit ribosomal RNA
Source: RNAcentral
UUACCUGGUCUUGACAUCCACAGAACUUUCCAGAGAUGGAUUGGUGCCUCGGGAACUGUGAGACAGGUGCUGCAUGGCUGUCGUCAGCUCGUGUUGUGAAAUGUUGGGUUAAGUCCCGCAACGAGCGCAACCCUUAUCCUUUGUUGCCAGCGGUCCGGCCGGGAACUCAAAGGAGACUGCCAGUGAUAAACUGGAGGAAGGUGGGGAUGACGUCAAGUCAUCAUGGCCCUUACGACCAGGGCUACACACGUGCUACAAUGGCGCAUACAAAGAGAAGCGACCUCGCGAGAGCAAGCGGACCUCAUAAAGUGCGUCGUAGUCCGGAUUGGAGUCUGCAACUCGACUCCAUGAAGUCGGAAUCGCUAGUAAUCGUGGAUCAGAAUGCCACGGUGAAUACGUUCCCGGGCCUUGUACACACCGCCCGUCACACCAUGGGAGUGGGUUGCAAAAGAAGUAGGUAGCUUAACUUCGGGACGGCGCUUACCACUUUGUGAUUCAUGACUGGGGUGAAGUCGUAACAAGGUAACCGUAAGCUUCACAAUCGAAUUCCC